AGGGGAAAUGAUCCAGCUUGUUAUUUCUUUGGACAUCUAUGGCCAGUUUUGAUGACUGUAAAUAACUGAAAAUUAACAUAGAUAAAAAUAAAAUAUAAUUAAAUUAAAUUUAUCUAGGUACAGAUAGAUUGUAGUUAAAAGUGUAAGUUAUCUAAAUAAAGAUAACAUUAUUUAUCUGGAUAAAAAAAAGAUUUUAAAAAAGACAUUUUAUAAACUGGCAUACUUCGCAAUAUUGAGUAACUGUUGUAGGAAGGAAGAAUAUAGAUGGUAAUUUCAUUUAUAAUUUA
Molecule: non-coding RNA, 287 nt
Organism: Cinara cedri
Lineage: Eukaryota; Metazoa; Arthropoda; Insecta; Hemiptera; Aphididae
Source: the annotation of a GenBank genome assembly